This 932-nucleotide ribosomal RNA is filed under the name uncultured bacterium. RNAcentral's name for it is "bacterial SSU rRNA". It matches the Rfam family "Bacterial small subunit ribosomal RNA", at positions 462 to 1397 of the family's 1533-position model. The record is from RNAcentral.
ACGCGAAUUGACGGUACUCUGGGAAUAAGCAUCGGCUAACUCCGUGCCAGCAGCCGCGGUAAUACGGAGGAUGCGAGCGUUAUCCGGAUUUAUUGGGUUUAAAGGGUGCGUAGGCGGAUAGAUAAGUCAGUGGUGAAAUUCUGCAGCUUAACUGUAGACUUGCCGUUGAUACUGUCAGUCUUGAGUAUGGUCAAGGCAGGCGGAAUGUGUAAUGUAGCGGUGAAAUGCUUAGAUAUUACACAGAACACUGAUUGCGAAGGCAGCUUGCUGGGCCAUUACUGACGCUGAUGCACGAAAGCGUGGGGAUCGAACAGGAUUAGAUACCCUGGUAGUCCACGCCGUAAACGAUGAUCACUCGCUGUUGGCGAUACACAGUCAGCGGCUAAGCAAAAGCAUUAAGUGAUCCACCUGGGGAGUACGGCCGCAAGGCUGAAACUCAAAGGAAUUGACGGGGGCCCGCACAAGCGGAGGAACAUGUGGUUUAAUUCGAUGAUACGCGAGGAACCUUACCUGGGCUUAAAUGUAGAGUGCAUUGGUGAGAAAUCAUCAUUUUCUUCGGAACUCUCUGCAAGGUGCUGCAUGGUUGUCGUCAGCUCGUGCCGUGAGGUGUCGGGUUAAGUCCCAUAACGAGCGCAACCCUUAUCGUUAGUUGCCAGCGGGUAAUGCCGGGGACUCUAGCGAAACUGCCGGUGUAAACCGAGAGGAAGGUGGGGAUGACGUCAAAUCAGCACGGCCCUUAUGUCCAGGGCUACACACGUGUUACAAUGGCCGGUACAGAGGGCAGCUACCUGGAGACAGGAUGCGAAUCUCGAAAGCCGGUCUCAGUUCGGAUCGGAGUCUGCAACUCGACUCCGUGAAGCUGGAUUCGCUAGUAAUCGCGCAUCAGCCAUGGCGCGGUGAAUACGUUCCCGGGCCUUGCACACACCGCCCGU